AUUGAACGCUGGCGGCAUGCCUUACACAUGCAAGUCGAACGGUAACAGGUCUUCGGAUGCUGACGAGUGGCGAACGGGUGAGUAAUACAUCGGAACGUGCCUAGUAGUGGGGGAUAACUACUCGAAAGAGUGGCUAAUACCGCAUGAGAUCUACGGAUGAAAGCAGGGGAUCGCAAGACCUUGUGCUACGAGAGCGGCCGAUGGCAGGUUAGGUAGUUGGUGGGAUAAAAGCUUACCAAGCCGACGAUCUGUAGCUGGUCUGAGAGGACGAUCAGCCACACUGGGACUGAGACACGGCCCAGACUCCUACGGGAGGCAGCAGUGGGGAAUUUUGGACAAUGGGCGAAAGCCUGAUCCAGCAAUGCCGCGUGCAGGAUGAAGGCCUUCGGGUUGUAAACUGCUUUUGUACGGAACGAAAAGCCCCGGGUUAAUACCCUGGGGUCAUGACGGUACCGUAAGAAUAAGCACCGGCUAACUACGUGCCAGCCGCCGCAGUAA
Molecule: ribosomal RNA, 498 nt
Filed under: uncultured bacterium
Lineage: Bacteria
Description: partial 16S ribosomal RNA
Rfam family: Bacterial small subunit ribosomal RNA
Source: RNAcentral